ACAGCAGCAGCCGCGGGAAUACGAAGGGUGCAAGCGUUACUCGGAAUUACUGGGCGUAAAGCGUGCGUAGGUGGUGGUUUAAGUCCGUUGUGAAAGCCCUGGGCUCAACCUGGGAAUUGCAGUGGAUACUGGGUCACUAGAGUGUGGUAGAGGAUAGUGGAAUUUCCGGUGUAGCAGUGAAAUGCGUAGAGAUCGGAAGGAACAUCUGUGGCGAAGGCGACUAUCUGGGCCAACACUGACACUGAGGCACGAAAGCGUGGGGAGCAAACAGGAUUAGAGACCCCCGUAGUCCCUGUCUCUUAUAC
This 305-nucleotide ribosomal RNA is filed under the name uncultured bacterium. Its description in RNAcentral is "partial 16S ribosomal RNA". It matches the Rfam family "Bacterial small subunit ribosomal RNA", at positions 505 to 807 of the family's 1533-position model. The record is from RNAcentral.